AUGGGCGCAAGCCAGAUGCAGCGACGCCUCGUGAGGGAUGGAGGCCUUCGGGUUGUGAACCUCUGUCGCCGGUGAUGUAGGCUCUGCUUUGUGGGUGGGGUUGACGGUAGCCGGGGUAUGAAGUGCCGGCUAACUACGUGCCAGCAGCCGCGGUAAUACGUAGGGCGCGAGCGUUGUCCGGAAUUAUUGGGCGUAAAGAGCUCGUAGGCGGCUGGUCGCGUCUGUCGUGAAAUCCUCUGGCUUAACUGGGGGCGUGCGGUGGGUACGGGCCGGCUUGAGUGCGGUAGGGGAGGCUGGAAUUCCUGGUGUAGCGGUGGAAUGCGCAGAUAUCAGGAGGAACACCGGUGGCGAAGGCGGGUCUCUGGGCCGUGUACUGACGCUGAGGAGCGAAAGCGUGGGGAGCGAACAGGAUUAGAUACCCUGGUAGUCCAUGCUGUAAACGUUGGGCACUAGGUGUGGGGGGUCUUUCCGGGUCUUCCGCGCCGUAGCUAACGCAUUAAGUGCCCCGCCUGGGGAGUACGGCCGCAAGGCUAAAACUCAAAGGAAUUGACGGGGGCCCGCACAAGCGGC
RNAcentral lists this ribosomal RNA (570 nucleotides) under Actinomyces sp. oral taxon 448. RNAcentral's name for it is "bacterial SSU rRNA". It matches the Rfam family "Bacterial small subunit ribosomal RNA", at positions 371 to 933 of the family's 1533-position model. The record is from RNAcentral. Lineage: Bacteria; Bacillati; Actinomycetota; Actinomycetes; Actinomycetales; Actinomycetaceae.